RNAcentral lists this transfer RNA (72 nucleotides) under Ovis aries (sheep). It matches the Rfam family "tRNA". From Rfam's summary of the family: Transfer RNA (tRNA) molecules are approximately 80 nucleotides in length. Lineage: Eukaryota; Metazoa; Chordata; Mammalia; Artiodactyla; Bovidae. The record is from Rfam by way of RNAcentral.
UCCCUUGUGGCUCAGCUGGUAAAGAAUUUGCCUGCAAUGCAGGAGACCUAGGCUCGAUUCCUGGGUGGGGAA